UACGUAGGAGGCGAGCGUUGUCCGGAUUUACUGGGCGUAAAGCGCGCGCAGGCGGCACUUCAAGUAAGGUGUGAAAUCUCCCUGCUCAACGGGGAGGGUGCACUUUAGACUGAGGAGCUAGAGGACGGUAGAGGGGGGUGGAAUUGCUGGUGUAGCGGUGAAAUGCGCAGAUAUCAGGAAGAACACCCGUGGCGAAGGCGGCUCUCUGGGACGGUACUGACGCUGAGGUGCGAAAGCGUGGGGAGCAAACAGG
RNAcentral lists this ribosomal RNA (253 nucleotides) under uncultured bacterium. RNAcentral's name for it is "partial 16S ribosomal RNA". It matches the Rfam family "Bacterial small subunit ribosomal RNA", at positions 524 to 776 of the family's 1533-position model. The record is from RNAcentral.